AUUGAACGCUGGCGGCGUGCCUAACACAUGCAAGUCGAGCGGCAGCGCGGGGGCAACCCUGGCGGCGAGCGGCGGACGGGUGAGUAACGCUUGGGAAUCUGCCUGUUAGUGGGGGACAACCCGGGGAAACUCGGCUAAUACCGCAUACGCACUACGGUGGAAAGCCGGGGACCGCAAAGGCCUGGCGCUAACAGAUGAGCCCAAAGUCGGAUUAGCUAGUUGGUAGGGUAACGGCCUACCAAGGCGACGAUCCGUAACUGAUCUGAGAGGACGACCAGUCACACCGGAACUGAGACACGGUCCGGACUCCUACGGGAGGCAGCAGUGGGGAAUAUUGGACAAUGGGCGAAAGCCUGAUCCAGCGACGCCGCGUGGGUGAAGAAGGCCUGCGGGUUGUAAAGCCCUUUCGGUGGGGAAGAAAAGCCCUCGAGCUAAUACCUCGGGGGUCUUGACGUAACCCAUAGAAGAAGCACCGGCUAACUCUGUGCCAGCAGCCGCGGUAAUACAGAGGGUGCGAGCGUUAAUCGGAAUUACUGGGCGUAAAAGCGCGCGUAGGCGGCUUUGCAAGUCGGGUGUGAAAUCCCCAGGCUUAACCUGGGAACUGCAUUCGAGACUGCAUUGCUAGAGUAUGGGAGAGGGAAGUGGAAUUUCAGGUGUAGCGGUGAAAUGCGUAGAUAUCUGAAGGAGCAUCAGUGGCGAAAGCGACUUCCUGGACCAAUACUGACGCUCAUGUGCGAAAAGCGUGGGGGAGCAAAACAGGAUUAGAUACCCUGGUA
RNAcentral lists this ribosomal RNA (776 nucleotides) under uncultured bacterium. RNAcentral describes it as "bacterial SSU rRNA". It matches the Rfam family "Bacterial small subunit ribosomal RNA", at positions 28 to 792 of the family's 1533-position model. The record is from RNAcentral.